Molecule: unclassified non-coding RNA, 547 nt
Filed under: Hevea brasiliensis (rubber tree)
Lineage: Eukaryota; Viridiplantae; Streptophyta; Magnoliopsida; Malpighiales; Euphorbiaceae
Source: RNAcentral
GAGAGAGAGAGAGAGAAGAAAAAAGGAACGAAGGAAGAUGAGUUUGAGGUGGUUAGAAGCUGUUCUUCCACUAGGAAUCAUAGCUGGUUUUCUUUGCGUAAUGGGUAAUGCUCAGUAUUUCAUCCACAAAGCUGCUCAUGGCAGGCCGAAGCACAUUGGGAAUGACAUGUGGGAUGUAGCAAUGGAAAGGAGGGACAAGAAAAUGAUGGAGAUGCUUGCUUCUCCUUCUUCUUCUUCGUCUUAGUCGUUGUGUGGAAACCUGCGUUUGGGAAUAAAAUGGUCUUUUGAGGCUCGAGAUCAUGUGCAAAAUACUUCAAUAUCGUCUUUCUUCCUUCUCCUGUUGCUGGUUUUCCAUAGCCUAUGAGCUUUAUAACAAUGAGACAUUUGUGAAAUGCUUCUUUGUUGAAUCUGGUGCAGUUGUUGGUUUCUGUUUAAACUUUUGUGGAAUUUUCACUAGUAUUCAUCGACUCUCUACUUGUAAACAGACUGGAAUUUCUCUGUACUGAAAUCCUAGAUAUGUUCCUAAUAGAACAAGGGCUUUCGUUUU